UGGGGAAUCUUGGACAAUGGGCGAAAGCCUGAUCCAGCCAUGCCGCGUGUGUGAAGAAGGUCUUCGGAUUGUAAAGCACUUUAAGUUGGGAGGAAGGGCCAUUACCUAAUACGUGAUGGUUUUGACGUUACCGACAGAAUAAGCACCGGCUAACUCUGUGCCAGCAGCCGCGGUAAUACAGAGGGUGCAAGCGUUAAUCGGAAUUACUGGGCGUAAAGCGCGCGUAGGUGGUUUGUUAAGUUGGAUGUGAAAUCCCCGGGCUCAACCUGGGAACUGCAUUCAAAACUGACUGACUAGAGUAUGGUAGAGGGUGGUGGAAUUUCCUGUGUAGCGGUGAAAUGCGUAGAUAUAGGAAGGAACACCAGUGGCGAAGGCGACCACCUGGACUGAUACUGACACUGAGGUGCGAAAGCGUGGGGAGCAAACAGGAUUAGAUACCCUUGUAGUCCCUGAGCGGGCUGGCAAGGCGCAU
Molecule: ribosomal RNA, 472 nt
Filed under: uncultured bacterium
Lineage: Bacteria
Description: bacterial SSU rRNA
Rfam family: Bacterial small subunit ribosomal RNA
Source: RNAcentral